Molecule: ribosomal RNA, 253 nt
Filed under: uncultured bacterium
Lineage: Bacteria
Description: partial 16S ribosomal RNA
Rfam family: Bacterial small subunit ribosomal RNA
Source: RNAcentral
UACGUAGGGGGCAAGCGUUGUCCGGAAUCAUUGGGCGUAAAGAGCGUGUAGGCGGCCCGAUAAGUCCGCUGUGAAAGUCCAGGGCUCAACCCUGGAAUGCCGGUGGAUACUGUCGGGCUCGAGUUCGGAAGAGGUGAGUGGAAUUCCUGGUGUAGCGGUGAAAUGCGCAGAUAUCAGGAGGAACACCGGUGGCGAAGGCGGAUCUCUGGGCCGUACCUGACGCUCAGGUGCGAAAGCUAGGGGAGCGAACAGG